Molecule: long non-coding RNA, 1353 nt
Organism: Syngnathoides biaculeatus (alligator pipefish)
Lineage: Eukaryota; Metazoa; Chordata; Actinopteri; Syngnathiformes; Syngnathidae
Exons: 3
Source: RefSeq, a predicted model, not a curated record
UUGAGGAAACGAUCAUGCGCAAGGAGGGGUGGUUGUGCGUCUGCUGCUACUGCUGCUGGUGGUGGAGGGGGGGGGGGGGACACACUGUCCGAGCUGUUGCACAAGAAGAUUUGCCCACUCACCCUUCUUAAAGGAUAUUGUGGAUGCACGGGGGAAGUUUGGACUCUCCUGCAGAGAGCCAGACCACCAGACAGCAGUGGCUGAUACCCCCACCCCACUCUCCAUCCACACCCCCCUCCCUUCUUGAAGCGACUGUGGAUGCUGCUGCAUGGAGGUGACAGCAACCCGCCGACGGAGCAACCGGGCAGCGUCACCUUCACCCGACGAGACGGAUCUUCAAAGAGGUCAUUCUGUGGAAUACCAGCUGAAAAGGCCAGAAAAGAUUGAUGGAUUUUGGCAAUUAAAGGUGAUGGAUGGUGCCCGACCAAAAUGCACACAAGCCCGUGUAGCGAUCGUUUCAUUUCAGGGUCACGGGGAGCGCCGAAGCCUAUCGCAGCUAUCAACGGGCAGGAGGCGGGGUACACCCUGAACUGGUCGCCAGCCGAUCGCAGGGCACAUGGAGACAAACAGCCGCACUCACAAUCACACCUAGGGGCAAUUUAGUGUCCAAUGAAUGUCACAGGUUUUUGGGAUGUGGGAGGAAACCGGAGAUCCCGGAGAAAAGCCACACAGGCACGGGGAGAACAUGCAAACGCCACACAGGCGAGAAAGAGAACCACGACGUGAGAAAAGGAAAGUUUGUUGGAUAUUGGAAGCGAAGUGGUCUCACGGUGUAAUUCAAUUUGAUUUUGUUCUGUUUCAUAUUUUGUGAUGUUUACCUGGGUCCCACGUUCAGGUCUUGCCUUCUCCUUUGGUUUUGGUCCCCGGGCGCUCUCGUCGGCUCCGUUCCUCACGUCAACCAAUCAGCUCCCUCCGGCCACUCGCGUCUUUGUCCACGUGUGCCUCGUUGUUCCGUCCAUUUCUUUGUAUUUCAUUUCCUGCUUUCUUUCAGUCCAUUUUUUUGGGGGGGUUCCUCAUUAUUUUUGCUGUCAUGGGAGUUUUUUUGUUUCCCAGUGUAACUUUGAAACUUGUUUUUGGGGAACUUGUUAAUUUAGUAUUGCUAUUAUUGCACAUGCCUUGUUUGUCCAUUUUUGUUUUUGAAAAUACUAAAUAUAGAAGAAAACACAGCCGACUCUGUUCUUUAAUCCGACCCGCUGUGUAAUGACGUCGGCCAGAGUCCCUCCAUAUUUACUGCAUUAAUUGAGAUAUUUCAUAAAAUUGGUCAAUUAAAAAGAAAUCUUUUAAAAAGUAGUCUUUGUUUUCAUUUGCCUCAUGAAAUUGAUUUCAUGUCAUUGAUGUAAUAAAAUAGCGCUU